CGGAGGCGGAAACGAUGGGGAGCUUGCUCCCAGGCGUCGAGCGGCGGACGGGUGAGUAACACUUAGGAAUCUACCUAGUAGUGGGGGAUAGCUCGGGGAAACUCGAAUUAAUACCGCAUACGUCCUACGGGAGAAAGGGGGCAGUUUACUGCUCUCGCUAUUAAAUGAGCCUAAGUCGGAUUAGCUAGUUGGUGGGGUAAAGGCCUACCAGGGCGACAAUCUGUAGCUGGUCUGAGAGGAUGAUCACCCACACCGGGACUGAAACACGGCCCGGACUCCUACGGGAGGCAGCAGUGGGGAAUAUUGGACAAUGGGGGGAACCCUGAUCCAGCCAUGCCGCGUGUGUGAAGAAGGCCUUUUGGUUGUAAAGCACUUUAAGCAGUGAAAAAAACCUAACGGUUAAUACCCGUUAGCGAUGACAUUAGCUGCAAAAUAAGCACCGGCUAACUCUGUGCCACCACCCGCGGUAAUACAGAGGGUGCAAGCGUUAAUCGGAAUUACUGGGCGUAAAGCGAGCGUAGGUGGCUUGAUAAUUCAUAUGUGAAAUCCCCGGGCUUAACCUGGGAACUGCAUCUGAUACUGUUAAUCUAGAGUAGGUGAGAGGGAAAUAGAAUUCCGGGUGUGGCGGUGAAAUGCGUAAAAAUCUGGAGGAAUACCGAUGGCAGGGGCUCCUUCCUGGCUUCUUACUGACUCUGAGGUUCAAAAGCGUGGGUAGCAUACAGGAUAGAUCCCCUGUUAUCCACUCCGUAACGAUGUCUACUUUCGUUGGGUCCUUGAGGACUAGUGACGCCUCUCACCCAUAAAUAUACCGCUGGUGAGUACGGCGCAGGGUAAAAACAAUGAAUUCCGGCGGCCCACCCACCGUGGACCUUUGGUUUGUUCAUCAA
This 887-nucleotide ribosomal RNA is filed under the name Psychrobacter sp. Its description in RNAcentral is "bacterial SSU rRNA". It matches the Rfam family "Bacterial small subunit ribosomal RNA", at positions 63 to 957 of the family's 1533-position model. The record is from RNAcentral. Lineage: Bacteria; Pseudomonadati; Pseudomonadota; Gammaproteobacteria; Moraxellales; Moraxellaceae.